Molecule: ribosomal RNA, 521 nt
Filed under: uncultured bacterium
Lineage: Bacteria
Description: bacterial SSU rRNA
Rfam family: Bacterial small subunit ribosomal RNA
Source: RNAcentral
AAUAGAUACCCAGGUAGUCCACGCCGUAAACGAUGAGUGCUAAGUGUUAGAGGGUUUCCGCCCUUUAGUGCUGAAGUUAACGCAUUAAGCACUCCGCCUGGGGAGUACGGCCGCAAGGCUGAAACUCAAAGGAAUUGACGGGGGCCCGCACAAGCGGUGGAGCAUGUGGUUUAAUUCGAAGCAACGCGAAGAACCUUACCAGGUCUUGACAUCCUCUGACAACCCUAGAGAUAGGGCUUCUCCUUCGGGAGCAGAGUGACAGGUGGUGCAUGGUUGUCGUCAGCUCGUGUCGUGAGAUGUUGGGUUAAGUCCCGCAACGAGCGCAACCCUUGAUCUUAGUUGCCAUCAUUAAGUUGGGCACUCUAAGGUGACUGCCGGUGACAAACCGGAGGAAGGUGGGGAUGACGUCAAAUCAUCAUGCCCCUUAUGACCUGGGCUACACACGUGCUACAAUGGACGGUACAAAGAGCUGCAAGACCGCGAGGUGGAGCUAAUCUCAUAAAACCGGUUCUCAGUUCGGA